UAAGUCUCAGUUCGGAGUUGAAGGCUGAAAUUCGCCUUCAUGAAGCCGGAAUUGCUAGUAAUGGCAGGUCAGCAUACUGCCGUGAAUACGUUCCCGGGCCUUGUACACACCGCCCGUCACACCAUGGGAGCCGGUAAUACCCGAAGUCAGUAGCCUAACCGCAAGGGGGGGCGCUGCCGAAGGUAGGAUUGGCGACUGGGGUGAAGUCGUAACAAGGUACC
This 221-nucleotide ribosomal RNA is filed under the name uncultured bacterium. RNAcentral's name for it is "partial 16S ribosomal RNA". It matches the Rfam family "Bacterial small subunit ribosomal RNA", at positions 1282 to 1500 of the family's 1533-position model. The record is from RNAcentral.